CUUAUACUCCCUCCGUCCCAAAAUUCUUGUCUUAGAUUAGUCUAGAUACGGAUGUAUCAAGUACCAAAACGUGACUUGAUACAUCCGUAUUUAGACAAAUCUAAGACAAGAAUUUUGGGACGGAGGGAGUAUUUC
Molecule: non-coding RNA, 135 nt
Organism: Triticum aestivum (bread wheat)
Lineage: Eukaryota; Viridiplantae; Streptophyta; Magnoliopsida; Poales; Poaceae
Source: Rfam